RNAcentral lists this ribosomal RNA (253 nucleotides) under uncultured bacterium. RNAcentral's name for it is "partial 16S ribosomal RNA". It matches the Rfam family "Bacterial small subunit ribosomal RNA", at positions 524 to 776 of the family's 1533-position model. The record is from RNAcentral.
GACGAACCGUGCGAACGUUGUUCGGAAUCACUGGGCUUAAAGGGCGCGUAGGCGGGCGGGCAAGCCCGGGGUGAAAUCUUUCGGCUCAACCGGAAAAGUGCCUCGGGGACUGCUCGUCUGGAGUGAGGUAGGGGCCGCGGGAACUUCCGGUGGAGCGGUGAAAUGCGUUGAUAUCGGAAGGAACGCCGGUGGCGAAAGCGCGCGGCUGGCCCUCAACUGACGCUGAGGCGCGAAAGCUAGGGGAGCGAACGGG